UUUUUUAAUUGAAAACUUGUAUGAAAGGUUGAACAAAAAAUUAGCUGUUUUAUUAAAAAUUAUAGAAUUUUACUUUUUAGUUAAAAGGCUUAAAUAUUUUUAAAAGACGAGAAGACCCUUUAGAGUUUAAUUUAAUAUAUUAUUUAUUUAAAAUAGAAAAUUUUUAAUAAAAUAAUUUAUUCUAUUUUGUUGGGGUGACAUUUAAAUUUAAUAAACUUUUUUUAUUUUUUACAUUAAUUUAUGAAUUAUUGAUCCAAUAUUAUUGAUUAAAAAUUUAAAUUACCUAAGGGAUAACAGCGUAAUUUUUUCUUAGAGAUCUUAUCAAUGAAAAUUUUUGC
Molecule: ribosomal RNA, 338 nt
Filed under: Diadocidia sp. Thailand DK-2014
Lineage: Eukaryota; Metazoa; Arthropoda; Insecta; Diptera; Diadocidiidae
Description: partial 16S ribosomal RNA
Source: RNAcentral